This is a long non-coding RNA of Ostrinia nubilalis (European corn borer), 2732 nucleotides long. RefSeq lists it as uncharacterized. The transcript has 3 exons. The record is from RefSeq and is a predicted model, not a curated record. NCBI's taxonomy places the organism in Eukaryota, Metazoa, Arthropoda, Insecta, Lepidoptera, Crambidae.
UAGAAUAGAAUAGAAAACUUUUUAUUUGCAAGAAAGGUAUACAAGCAGGUAAGACAUAGAUUAAAACAGAGAGAAAUAAACAAGUGGACAAUUAACUGCUUGUGCCCCUCUGACAAAAAGGCACCCGCUCAGCGUACAUCAAGACCGCCAGGGCUUGUCUUGAAACUGAUUUUCAGCGGGGGCCCUCUGUUGUCACGGCGUACCCCUGCUGAAAGAGAUGCAAGAGGAGAAAGGAGUCCACAAGUCCGGCAGCAGGGAGAACGCAGCAGGGGGGCGCAAAAGAAAAAGAGAAAACAAACAAAAAGAAAGAAACAAGAAAGCACCAUAAAAAAUAAUUAAUAAAAAUAAAUUCAUUUCACAUUAAUUAUAAAUUACAAUAAUAAUAAAUUAAAAUUAUAAUAAAUUACAAUAAAUUUAGAUUUUAAUUAUUAAUUACAUAAUUAAAACACAUUUAAAAAAAAUUAAAAUAAAAUAAAUUAGAUUAAAAAUACAAAUAAAUUAUCAAAAAACACCAUUCUUUACUUAUCUAUUGCCAUUGAUAUGUGGCCAUAACCAUAAGGCCUCAAGUUAUUUAAAAUCAAUGGUAGAAAAGUGAUUGAGGAAAGAAAAAAAAAAAAAGAGAUUAAAAAAAAGAAAGAACUGUCACUUACUGUCAACGACCGACAUGUGCACGAGAUGUGAGAAUAAUUGCCACGUAAAUUGAUGAAAUGUGGUACAUUUAAAGGAUAUUUCAAGAAAGCAGUGCCAAAUAAUAAAACCAAAUUAAGAGCAAUCCGCAGCACUACAAUCACACGAAAGGGAAGGUGAAUAACAUCCAGCAUUGUAACCAAUUUUAUGCAACAACUACGGAUUACUAACAUACAAUAAUGCAAUGCAAUACUAUUAUACAAAUAAAUUAAAGAAAAUUGGACAGAAGAAUACACUGAGUACCAACAGCAAAAAAUAAAUAAAUAAAAUAAACCCAUGUCAAGAAACUAAACGGAGCCAAGUGGAUGAGGACUGCACACAAGGUGCUGGAGAAAGUCAGGUGAAGCUGGAGCUGGAAGUGGACCUGCUCCCAGGCGUGUCGUGCAUACAUUUAAGGGCACGCAGAGGCAGUGGCAGGUCAUUCCAACAUUUAGAAGCAGCAAACCUGAAGGAGCCUCUAAAAGCUGCAGUACGAUGUUUAGGGGUGUUAAAGACAUGGGUGCAUUCUCUUCUGGGAUAUCGGCUGAGCUCACGUGCCCACUCCAGCUUCAAGAAAAGGUACUUUGGCUUGGCUUUACUCAGAACACCAAACAUCAUAGUAGCAAGAUGAAGCUUCCUACGCGCAUCCAUCUUUAACAUGGCUGCAGCAUUGAGGAAUGGCGUAACAUGUGUACGAGGUGGAAUUGUGAAACAAAACCGAGCGCAGGCAUUUUGCACUCUUUGGAUAAGUUUAGCUGAUUUUGUGAAAAUACAUGGACCAUAAACAGUAUCGCAAUAGUUAAACUUGCUGAGAACCAGUGAUUCGCAAAGAGCAAUUCGAAUCUUCUCACUUAAAUAUGGUCUUAGUUUGUAUAGAAGUUUCAAACGGUAAAAACUACUUCUAGCACAAUCAAUGAUGUGAUUUUCAAAUUUCAAAUGGCAAUCCAUGGCCAAUCCCAGAUUUUUAACUUUAUCAACCCUAACAAUAGGCUGACCUACAAUAUUUAAAGUAUUAUCAUUAAAUCUGGCUAUGUUCUUGGGGGUACCCAUUACAAUAAAUUGUGAUUUAUUAGGAUUAAGAGUAAGACAAUUCAGUAAGCACCAUGUAUUUAUGUUAUUUAGGUCUUGGUUAAUUUUAUUGACAGCAAUCACUUGGUCGGCCGGGGCAAACGGUAGAUACAGUUGCAAGUCAUCAGCAUAUAAGUGAUAUUGACAAUUCUUUAUGCUGUUUACAAUGUCAGCACUGUACAAAAUGUACAGAAUUGGGCCCAAAAUCGAACCUUGGGGCACACCACGAGAGACUGUACUCAGCUGUGAACGCAACAGAGUGCCAUCCGUCUGUUUCAGCUCAACAUAUUGACUACGCUGAGUCAAAUAACUAUGAAACCACUUAACGGAUCUGCUAUCAAAACCAUAGUAUUUUAGUUUGGAUGAGAGAAGAGAUGUAUUGAUUGAGUCGAAUGCCCGAGAGAAAUCAAGCAAUGUCACAAUUGUUACCAUGCCACGAUCCUGUCCAGCCAGUAUGUUGUCAACCACGUCUGCCAGUGCAGUGGCCGUUCCAUAACCCUUCCGAAACCCAGAUUGACAGUGUGGAAGAAUAUCACAAUCCUCAAGGUAUCGAGUGACUUGGUCGCACACUAUCCUCUCAAGGAUUUUAGAAAGACAUGGCAGGAUGCUAAUAGGCCGUAGUUCCUCUUCUGAGUUAGGGUGGCUUGUUUUAGGAAUAGGUCUCACAAUCGAUAUUUUCCAACUCUCAGGGAAUGUGCUAUCUAGUAUAGACUGGUUGACCAUCGCAGUUAUGGCUUUAAGGGAGUAGGGUAAGGUUAGCCGGAGCAUGUCCAAAGAUAGGCCAUCAUGCCCCCGGGCAUUCGACUUCAUUCCUCUGAUGGUCUUAAGAACCAUCUCCUCACUGACUGUGUGCAGAGUAAAAGUAGCUGCAUUGUUAUGCCUAUGAAACUCAAAGUAGGUCAGUUGAGAAAUGGAUACUUUAUCCUCACCUGGCACUUUUUGAAAAUGUGCAUUAAUAAGAUCAGGAUUGUUAAACAUAGAGGGUAUAUCAGGUAGGU